RNAcentral lists this transfer RNA (90 nucleotides) under Ignavibacteria bacterium. Its description in RNAcentral is "tRNA-Ser". It matches the Rfam family "tRNA". Rfam says of the family: Transfer RNA (tRNA) molecules are approximately 80 nucleotides in length. Lineage: Bacteria; Pseudomonadati; Ignavibacteriota; Ignavibacteria. The record is from RNAcentral. RNAcentral also lists the same sequence under 1 other name.
GGAGGGGUGGCCGAGUGGCUGAAGGCAGCGGUUUGCUAAACCGUCGUAGGGUUCAAAGCUCUACCGCGAGUUCGAAUCUCGCCCUCUCCG